AUUGAACGCUGGCGGCAGGCCUAACACAUGCAAGUCGAGCGGAUGAAGGGAGCUUGCUCCUGGAUUCAGCGGCGGACGGGUGAGUAAUGCCUAGGAAUCUGCCUGGUAGUGGGGGAUAACGUCCGGAAACGGGCGCUAAUACCGCAUACGUCCUGAGGGAGAAAGUGGGGGAUCUUCGGACCUCACGCUAUCAGAUGAGCCUAGGUCGGAUUAGCUAGUUGGUGGGGUAAAGGCCUACCAAGGCGACGAUCCGUAACUGGUCUGAGAGGAUGAUCAGUCACACUGGAGCUGAGACACGGUCCAGACUCCUACGGGAGGCAGCAGUGGGGAAUAUUGGACAAUGGGCGAAAGCCUGAUCCAGCAAUGCCGCGUGUGUGAAGAAGGUCUUCGGAUUGUAAAGCACUUUAAGUUGGGAGGAAGGGCAGUAAGUUAAUACCUGGCUGUUUUGACGGUACCAACAGAAUAAGCACCGGCUAACUUCGUG
This 484-nucleotide ribosomal RNA is filed under the name uncultured bacterium. Its description in RNAcentral is "partial 16S ribosomal RNA". It matches the Rfam family "Bacterial small subunit ribosomal RNA", at positions 30 to 507 of the family's 1533-position model. The record is from RNAcentral.